This 291-nucleotide ribosomal RNA is filed under the name uncultured bacterium. Its description in RNAcentral is "partial 16S ribosomal RNA". It matches the Rfam family "Bacterial small subunit ribosomal RNA", at positions 773 to 1060 of the family's 1533-position model. The record is from RNAcentral.
GUGGAUUAGAUACCCUGGUAGUCCACGCUGUAAACGAUGGAUACUAGGUGUAGGCGGUCAUUAACCCCGUCUGUGCCGAAGCCAACGCGUUAAGUAUCCCGCCUGGGGACUACGGCCGCAAGGUUAAAACUCAAAGGAAUUGACGGGGGCCCGCACAAGCAGCGGAGCGUGUGGUUUAAUUCGAUGAUACGCGAAGAACCUUACCUGGGUUUGACAUAGGGGUAGUAGCAAGGUGAAAGCUAAGCGACCCUUCGGGGAGACUCUACAGGUGCUGCAUGGCUGUCGACAGCU